This 465-nucleotide ribosomal RNA is filed under the name Vreelandella stevensii. RNAcentral's name for it is "partial 16S ribosomal RNA". It matches the Rfam family "Bacterial small subunit ribosomal RNA", at positions 338 to 795 of the family's 1533-position model. The record is from RNAcentral. Lineage: Bacteria; Pseudomonadati; Pseudomonadota; Gammaproteobacteria; Oceanospirillales; Halomonadaceae.
CCUACGGGUGGCUGCAGUGGGGAAUAUUGGACAAUGGGCGAAAGCCUGAUCCAGCCAUGCCGCGUGUGUGAAGAAGGCCUUCGGGUUGUAAAGCACUUUCAGUGGGGAAGAAAGCCUUGGGGCUAAUACCCUCGAGGAAGGACAUCACCCACAGAAGAAGCACCGGCUAACUCCGUGCCAGCAGCCGCGGUAAUACGGAGGGUGCGAGCGUUAAUCGGAAUUACUGGGCGUAAAGCGCGCGUAGGCGGUCUGAUAAGCCGGUUGUGAAUGCCCCGGGCUCAACCUGGGAACGGCAUCCGGAACUGUCAGGCUAGAGUGCAGGAGAGGAAGGUAGAAUUCCCGGUGUAGCGGUGAAAUGCGUAGAGAUCGGGAGGAAUACCAGUGGCGAAGGCGGCCUUCUGGACUGACACUGACGCUGAGGUGCGAAAGCGUGGGUAGCAAACAGGAUUAGAUACCCGAGUAGUC